RNAcentral lists this ribosomal RNA (439 nucleotides) under uncultured bacterium. RNAcentral's name for it is "partial 16S ribosomal RNA". It matches the Rfam family "Bacterial small subunit ribosomal RNA", at positions 339 to 795 of the family's 1533-position model. The record is from RNAcentral.
CUACGGGUGGCACCAGUGGGGAAUAUUGCACAAUGGGGGAAACCCUGAUGCAGCAACGCCGCGUGGAGGAUGACGCAUUUCGGUGUGUAAACUCCUUUUAUAUAGGAAGAUAAUGACGGUACUAUAUGAAUAAGCACCGGCUAACUCCGUGCCAGCAGCCGCGGUAAUACGGAGGGUGCAAGCGUUACUCGGAAUCACUGGGCGUAAAGCGCGCGCAGGCGGCCUUUUAAGUUGGAUGUGAAAGCCUAUGGCUUAACCAUAGAACUGCAUCCAAAACUAUCAGGCUAGAGUCUGGGAGGGGAAGAUGGAAUUAGUUGUGUAGGGGUAAAAUCCGUAGAGAUAACUAGGAAUACCAAAAGCGAAGGCGAUCUUCUGGAACAGUACUGACGCUAAGGCGUGAAAGCGUGGGGAGCAAACAGGAUUAGAUACCCGGGUAGUC